RNAcentral lists this transfer RNA (78 nucleotides) under Clostridia bacterium. RNAcentral describes it as "tRNA-Gln". It matches the Rfam family "tRNA". From Rfam's summary of the family: Transfer RNA (tRNA) molecules are approximately 80 nucleotides in length. Lineage: Bacteria; Bacillati; Bacillota; Clostridia. The record is from RNAcentral.
UGGGAUGUAGCCAAGUUGGUCAAGGCACAGGACUUUGACUCCUGCAUUUCGUGCGUUCAAGUCGCACCAUCCCAGCCA